GGCCUUGUAGCUCAGCUGGUAGAGCAUGCACGUACAAAACUUAUGCGGUGUCCAUGUGUGGGUUCGUAUCUUACCGAGGCUA
This 82-nucleotide transfer RNA is filed under the name Echinostoma caproni. It matches the Rfam family "tRNA". From Rfam's summary of the family: Transfer RNA (tRNA) molecules are approximately 80 nucleotides in length. The record is from Rfam by way of RNAcentral. Lineage: Eukaryota; Metazoa; Platyhelminthes; Trematoda; Plagiorchiida; Echinostomatidae.